AGUGCUGAAAGCAUCUAAGCAUGAAGCCCCCCUCAAGAUGAGAUUUCCCAACUUCGGUUAUAAGAUCCCUCAAAGAUGAUGAGGUUAAUAGGUUCGAGGUGGAAGCGUGGUGACACGUGGAGCUGACGAAUACUAAUCGAUCGAAGACUUAAUCAA
Molecule: ribosomal RNA, 156 nt
Filed under: Staphylococcus haemolyticus
Lineage: Bacteria; Bacillati; Bacillota; Bacilli; Caryophanales; Staphylococcaceae
Description: partial 23S ribosomal RNA
Rfam family: Bacterial large subunit ribosomal RNA
Source: RNAcentral